Molecule: ribosomal RNA, 301 nt
Filed under: uncultured bacterium
Lineage: Bacteria
Description: partial 16S ribosomal RNA
Rfam family: Bacterial small subunit ribosomal RNA
Source: RNAcentral
CAGCAGCCGCGGUAACACAGAGGGUGCGAGCGUUAAUCGGAUUUACUGGGCGUAAAGCGUGCGUAGGCGGCUAAUUGAGUCGGAUGUGAAAUCCCCGAGCUUAACUUGGGAAUUGCAUUCGAUACUGGUUAGCUAGAGUGUGGGAGAGGAUGGUAGAAUUCCAGGUGUAGCGGUGAAAUGCGUAGAGAUCUGGAGGAAUACCGAUGGCGAAGGCAGCCAUCUGGCCUAACACUGACGCUGAGGUACGAAAGCAUGGGGAGCAAACAGGAUUAGAUACCCCCGUAGUCCCUGUCUCUUAUAC